Non-coding RNA from Cinara cedri, 797 nucleotides. The record is from the annotation of a GenBank genome assembly. Lineage: Eukaryota; Metazoa; Arthropoda; Insecta; Hemiptera; Aphididae.
GUGCUAAUGUUAAUAGGUAGGAUUUCGUUGAAUAUUGCAGGUCACCAUUAAUUAAGUUACCAAAAAUCGAAAUUGACAAAAACCGCUAUUGCAUAAAUAUUCCUGCUUAUUCCUGUUUGUUCUCAUUAUAAAUAAAAAUACCUAUAAAGAAAAAAAAUGACUUUCUCAAUCCAACGAAUGGAUAAAAUUUAAUAAUAAAAAUCACACCUGAAAGCUGAAUCAGACGAUAUUUGUUUUCCCGUCGAAAACUUUUGUUUACCCACAGAAAAAAAAAACGCAAAAACACUUCAUAUAGGGAAACUAAUUCAUAACUCACUUUGCUCAGAAUAUAAAAUUAGUGUUGAGUAUAAUUAUAUUAGAUAAUGUGGUUUCGAAUGGAUCAAUUUAUGUGUAAUUUAUUUAUUAACGUUAUGUUUUGAAAUGUGUGAUGUUAUAUUACAUUCGCAUUUAUUUAUUUAUUUGCAAUAUAGCAGAAUGUGAUGUCGCCAUAUUAUAUUAUAGGAAUAUAAAAUUAAUAAUUUUGAUGAACGAAAUUGGCAAAAGAAAAUAAUAGAUUUUUAAAAUAUCUUAUGUAACAUGUGAUUGUUGCCAUCAUAACGGAUACAAAAAUGAAUAAAUUAUGGGAGUUUAAAGUUUAAAGUUAAUCGUUCAACACCUAUCCUAAUCAACACCUCCCAAACGUCGCUGUCAAACUUAAGCGUAUUAUUUAUCAAUAUACCACUAAAAAUAAACAGAAAAAAGGGAUACGAGGUGAAACCAAUAUGGAUCGAAAAAGUAUAAUGUCACAAUUUAAAACA